Molecule: long non-coding RNA, 1509 nt
Filed under: Gallus gallus (chicken)
Lineage: Eukaryota; Metazoa; Chordata; Aves; Galliformes; Phasianidae
Description: long non-coding RNA NONGGAT005667
Source: RNAcentral
GGGGAGAGAACGCGGCGUACGGAACGCCGCACCGAGGGGGAUUUCUGAGCCAUAAAAGCGGCCCUGAGAGGAAUGCGGAUCUCCACGGCGAGCAGCAAGAACCACCUCAGGAGAGCGGAGCCAACCCCGGGCCCGAGCAGAGGGCACCCGCAGGCAAAGAGGAGCGCUCGAGACCUUUAAAGCCACCUCAGGGAGCGCUGCUGCGGGGUGCGGGCACAGAGAGCCCCCGGGAGGAGGGCGGUCCUCCAUCCACUCCUUCGGAAGACAUUUCUACGCCGUUAAUGUACCUCUGAAAACAUGCACCUGAGCUAACGGCGAUUCCCGAAACCAUUUCGUGUCAUUCACUGCAAAGAGAUGGCGGUAUUCAUUUCAGACUUUGAGAGCAAAGAAUAAAUUGUGCAGAGCGGGAGAAUCCAGGAGCAGAGAAACUGAGUUCAUGCAAAAAUGAGAGCACACAGCAGGUAUGCACAUGGUAAACUUCAUUUGAACUUGUUUACAAAAUUGACAAAAAAAAUCACCUUGUAAACUUAUUCACAUUUUUUGGAGCUCACAGAACUGGUUAUAGUAGCAUGCUGAAAUAAAGAUUGUCAAGCCUCGUCUCACCCCAGAUCACAUCCGAGUGAGCUGACCCUUACAGCAGAAACAAACCGGGUACGUGACAGGAGGUGAAGCUCGCGUUGUAAGCGAUGUCCCUGGAGAUUGUGCACCACCGGGGAGAGGGCCGAGUCCGGCACGUGGAGCUCCCUCAAGCAAAGUGAGCAUCAGCACGGGCAGUUUGCUGCGGAGAGCUGCAUGGAAUCUGAGCAGCGAUGGAACUCAGGACAUCACUCGACCUUUCGGGCCGUCAACUGCAGCAGAAAUAAAAUAAACAUUUCCCAACGUGAGCAACUUCUGAGCCCUCUACCAUCACAUCUGCCUUCCUGAGCUGCAAGACAGUAACUUUCUGCAACUCUACAACACACUGCCUGACCUCAUCAACUGCAGAAGGAUAAAAUGGAAGUAAACUGAAAAUAUACUUGGAAACAUUUUUGGUAACCACUUUUUUCUGGUUAGAUUUCACGCAGACGUCGGGUUUCAGAAACAGAAGCAAACAAACACCAGUAAGAUUUCUGAGAUAGCCACACAUUGCAAUCCCAGUCAAACCACAAAAGCAGGUUUUAACAAGAACGACUUAAAAAUAAACCCAAUGUUAUCAGUUGUAUUCCAUGGAAUAAACCAAAGCAACGUAGACCUGGUGAGGAACACUUCUAAAAUCACAAUUUGACAGUGAAGAGCUUUGCCUCUGCUCCCAAAGGCACAACUACUUUUACCACGGCUCUUCCACAGCAGUGAGACCCAGCACACAUGAGUUAACAGGACGAACACCACUGAACCUCAGACUGUUUUUGGUAUCGUGUCCCCUCCCCCUCCACUCUGGACAGAAGUCCAACAGCGGGGACUGUAGAAAACAACUCGUCCCAAACGUUAAAGCAAUUACAGGUAAUAGAAAUUCUGAGCUUUCUAUACUGA